GAGGGUCUAGCUCAAGUGGUAGAGCGCAUGCUUAGCACACAAGAGGUUCUGGGUUUAAUCCCCAGUACCUCCU
RNAcentral lists this transfer RNA (73 nucleotides) under Camelus bactrianus (Bactrian camel). It matches the Rfam family "tRNA". From Rfam's summary of the family: Transfer RNA (tRNA) molecules are approximately 80 nucleotides in length. Their secondary structure includes four short double-helical elements and three loops (D, anti-codon, and T loops). RNAcentral also lists the same sequence under 2 other names. The record is from Rfam by way of RNAcentral. Lineage: Eukaryota; Metazoa; Chordata; Mammalia; Artiodactyla; Camelidae.